UCAGGAUGAACGCUAGCUACAGGCUAACACAUGCAAGUCGAGGGGCAGCAUUGGGAUAGCUUGCUAUUCAGAUGGCGACCGGCGCACGGGUGAGUAACGCGUAUCCAACCUUCCUGCCAGUAGGGAACAGCCCGGCGAAAGUCGGAUUAAUGCCCUAUGUUCUUCAAUGCGGACAUCUAAGUUGAAGGAAAGAUUCAUCGCUGGCAGAUGGGGAUGCGUCCGAUUAGCUUGCCGGCGGGGUAACGGCCACCGGGGCGACGAUCGGUAGGGGUUCCGAGAGGAAGGUCCCCCACACUGGUACUGAGACACGGACCAGACUCCUACGGGAGGCAGCAGUGAGGAAUAUUGGUCAAUGGGCGUAAGCCUGAACCAGCCAAGUAGCGUGCAGGAAUGACGGCCCUACGGGUUGUAAACUGCUUUUAUGCGGGGAUAAAGUGCGGCACGUGUGCCGCUUUGCAGGUACCGCAUGAAUAAGGACCGGCUAAUUCCGUGCCAGCCGCAGC
RNAcentral lists this ribosomal RNA (503 nucleotides) under uncultured bacterium. Its description in RNAcentral is "bacterial SSU rRNA". It matches the Rfam family "Bacterial small subunit ribosomal RNA", at positions 24 to 518 of the family's 1533-position model. The record is from RNAcentral.